Long non-coding RNA from Megalobrama amblycephala (Wuchang bream), 886 nucleotides. RefSeq lists it as uncharacterized. The record is from RefSeq and is a predicted model, not a curated record. The transcript has 3 exons. Lineage: Eukaryota; Metazoa; Chordata; Actinopteri; Cypriniformes; Xenocyprididae.
GAGUAAUUAAUGACAGAAUAUUUGGGUGAACUAACCCUUUAAUAGUCUAAAUACAAAAUAGCACAUGGUGCGUACAUUUAUCAAUUUAUACAUGCAGUUUCUAUGACCUCAUUUUAAUUUCCACUACAUGAUAUUAUGCGUUUUAAAAAAAAAAAAAUCCACAUCGCAGUACAAUUUAAAAGUAUAGAUCAACCAAAAAUAAAAAUUACUGUCAUUAUUUACUCUUCACCAAAUCUUAUACUUAUUUUUUCUGAGGAACAAAAAAGAAGAAUGGCGAAAACAACAUUUUCAUACAUCCGUAUGUAAAAGUCCUAAAAUAAUUUUUGGGUGAUCUGUCCCUUUAAGAGAAUAGCAAAAACAAAAAACCGAAAAAAUAAACAAAAAGAAAACACACCUAAACGGUUAUUAAAAGUUAUUAAAAAUACACUCUCCUAUAUGUAUAGGAAUGUAACCUAAAAUCGUUAUUUUAAUUCGUUUAAUGAUUUGAGUGCAAAAAAAAAAAAAAAAAAAAAAAAAAAACACAACAAGGCCGCGCUGCUAAACUGCCAACGACUUUGUGUGAAAACUCCCGAUUUCACCGAAUGAUUUUCAGAGGAAUAUACUGCACUAAGGGGAGCAACACGUGGUAAUUCCUGCAUGCAUUCUCAGGGGAUUCUGGAAGUUGCCAUGGCCUGGCUGCAGUGGCAUGAACUCCCAUAGGAGGACUGAGAAAGAGAUGGAGGCGCUGUCCAAUAUAUGCAGGACACAAGCUGCUCUGGCUCUGUGCCCGACCGCCUGCCUUCCCACAUCUGCUCCCCAUCAGGCUGCUGCCGAGUCCACACAAACAGAGGCCUCUCAUCAAAACAGCAGGAUUACAGCCCUCGACCCCUGGCCGGCACUUCAAGAC